UUCAGCAAGGAAAGUUUUAAUGAAUAAACUUAGUAAAUUAGAAAGCACUGCGGCAGAGUGAUUAACUCUCAUUUGGGCAUUAGUGUUGAAAUUAAUUAAAAUGUUUAAGCCAUAGGAGGCAGGCUACCUCGUCAGGACCUGGCUCUGCCCUCGGAGUCAGUCUGGAUCCAGGAGUGAUUCAUCUUACACAGAUGAGAGGGGGAUAAAAGGAAAAGAACAGUCAGGACAAAUGUGUUUUCAAUGGUGCUUAGCAGCAGGAGACCACUGGGACUUCAGAGCAACGCUACUGGAGUGUGACAUCAUAAUACGAAUGCUGCAGUCUGCUGUCUUCAAGACCACUCACCAAUUAGCUCUGUUUCCCUGCUCUUUUUAAACCUGCUUGCCACCGUUAAUGUUCCUGCGGUGACAUGAAGAGAGCCCCAUUCAUUUCAAAUAUCUACGGACUCGAUGACCUCUCUAAGUUAGAACAUCCUAAGAGAAAUCCAAGGACAACCUAUUUCCUGGAAGCCACCAAUCUAAGUGAAUAGUCUAACCCUGGGGAUAGCUUUUCUUCAUUACAUGAAACCCCAGUUACUGAGACAACUGGGGUCCUGAGGGAAUUUUCCUUCGAUGUCUGUGGUUCUCAAUCUUUUUGUGGAUCGAGGACCCUUUUGAGACUAUAACAAAAACUAUGAUCCCUCUCUUGAGAAAAAUAUUGAUACACAGAAAAUUUUGCAUGUUUGAGGGAUUCAUAGCAUUCCUCAGAUUGCCAUAAGUUAAGAACUGCUAUUCUAAAUAGGGUUAAAAAAAAAAAAA
This 795-nucleotide long non-coding RNA is filed under the name Homo sapiens (human). RNAcentral describes it as "HSALNT0292781". The record is from RNAcentral. Lineage: Eukaryota; Metazoa; Chordata; Mammalia; Primates; Hominidae.